UAGCUCAGUCAGUUAGAGUGUGGUGCUGAUAACACCAAGGUCAUGGGUUCGAUCCCCGU
Molecule: transfer RNA, 59 nt
Filed under: Apaloderma vittatum (bar-tailed trogon)
Lineage: Eukaryota; Metazoa; Chordata; Aves; Trogoniformes; Trogonidae
Rfam family: tRNA
About the family: Transfer RNA (tRNA) molecules are approximately 80 nucleotides in length.
Source: Rfam by way of RNAcentral